Molecule: ribosomal RNA, 502 nt
Filed under: uncultured bacterium
Lineage: Bacteria
Description: bacterial SSU rRNA
Rfam family: Bacterial small subunit ribosomal RNA
Source: RNAcentral
UGGGGAAUAUUGGACAAUGGGCGCAAGCCUGAUCCAGCAAUUCCGCGUGGGUGAAGAAGGUCUUCGGAUUGUAAAGCCCUUUCGGCGGGGACGAUGAUGACGGUACCCGCAGAAGAAGCCCCGGCUAACUUCGUGCCAGCAGCCGCGGUAAUACGAAGGGGGCUAGCGUUGCUCGGAAUGACUGGGCGUAAAGGGCGCGUAGGCGGCUGGUCAAGUCAGGCGUGAAAUUCCUGGGCUCAACCUGGGGGCUGCGCUUGAGACUGAUCGGCUUGAGGAUGGAAGAGGCUCGUGGAAUUCCCAGUGUAGAGGUGAAAUUCGUAGAUAUUGGGAAGAACACCGGUGGCGAAGGCGGCGAGCUGGUCCAUUACUGACGCUGAGGCGCGACAGCGUGGGGAGCAAACAGGAUUAGAUACCCUGGUAGUCCACGCCGUAAACGAUGUGCGCUGGAUGUUGGGUGACCUAGUCACUCAGUGUCGUAGCCAACGCGGUAAGCGCACCGCCU